RNAcentral lists this ribosomal RNA (119 nucleotides) under Salmo salar (Atlantic salmon). The record is from RNAcentral. Lineage: Eukaryota; Metazoa; Chordata; Actinopteri; Salmoniformes; Salmonidae.
GCUUACGGCCAUACCAGCCUGGGUACGCCCGAUCUCGUCUGAUCUCGGAAGCUAAGCAGGGUCGGGCCUGGUUAGUACCUGGAUGGGAGACCGCCUGGGAAUACCAAGUGCUGUAAGCA